UCUACCAUUACUUAACAGCCUCUCCUUCUGGAGAAAAACAGCUGUGGAGAGUAAGCAAAUUUAGCAGUUCAGUCCUUCAAACAAAAUAAAGCAGAUUUCUUCAUGCAGAGGAAGGCUUUUGACAGCACCAUUUAUAAUAAUAGGAGAAGAGCUAAACAAAUAGGAUAAACCUCCACAGAGAGUUCAGCAGGUCCUUGUAACAUUGCUGGUCUGGUGGGCUGAAGUCUGAGAGGAGUGGCAUGUGAGUAACAUAUAAGCCCUAAGAAGUUGGACAUGACCAGGGGUCAGAAGCAUACACAGAAAAGCUGUUACCAGCUGUAUUACUGACUUGUGUAGCCUACCAUGUCAGGAGUGACUUAAAGGCCUUUGCAUUUAUGACGUAUCUUCUUAAAUGGACCAGACCAUCUCCUGUUCAAGGCAGCAUCUGACUGACAUCUCUGUUGGCCAUCUGAAAGACAGCUGCCAGCCAGCAUCAUCAUCCCAAGGGAGCAUCUCUUCUCUGCUGCAGGGAGCGAUAGUAACCCUGAGAGGACUGAGAGCAGCAUCUGUGCCUCUUUCUGUGUUCUUUAGUAUGUUUCAUGACUUAAAAUUGAUCACUACACAUGAGGAUUGGUAUUUUAGUUGAGUUCUUACACAUUUCGCUCAGCAAUGAAGCAUUAAAAUAACCCUGAAUUAAGAUCUUUGCCUUAGUCUAUUACACUGAUGGAGCCUGAGUAAUUUCCAAUUACUCUGGUUUAAUGGCACCUUCAUGAAUGAGUGACAGUAUAGUGGUGUAAAUAAAGUGUUUUAAAGGAAAGAAGCACAUGCUGAUGAAUCCCUGAAAAUCAAUUACAAGACAGUAACAAUUUUUGAUACUGCA
This is a long non-coding RNA of Chiroxiphia lanceolata (lance-tailed manakin), 859 nucleotides long. RefSeq lists it as uncharacterized. The record is from RefSeq and is a predicted model, not a curated record. The transcript has 5 exons. Lineage: Eukaryota; Metazoa; Chordata; Aves; Passeriformes; Pipridae.